AAGAAAUGUUUAUUUUCUGUGCAUAUUUGUUUUAAAAUUAUAAAUCCCUGAGCACUUUUUCUUCUUCCUCCUCAUCACUGUCGGUGACAUUGACUUGCUGGAUGCUAGAAGGAGUUGAUGUCGGGGCUGUGAAGACAUUCUCCAAGGUUCCAAUGUCCAGCUGAGGCACAGGGUUUAAGUUUUCUUCCCCACUGUGGCUAUGACUGUUAUAGUAAGAAGUUCCAUUCAUGUUCUCACAACUCCGAGAAUUUUCACUGUGUGUGCAUUCACUUGAGUAGUCUCUAAAAGAAUAGUCUCUAUUUAAAGUUGAAAAGAUACCCUCAUGUUUUGGGUACCUGUCUUCAUAAUAACUAAGGCAUUCUGGCAUUGAACUCGGAAAAUUUCCAUAGCCAAAGGGAUCCUAAGGUCUUGCUGGUGCGGCCCAAAGGCACCGGACGUUGGGGCCAAGAUGACCUCCGCGCUGCCAUGAACCAGGCCAUUGGACGCGGGCUCCGCGCCGAGCCUGCAGUCCUCGAGGAGUCUCUCGGGUUCCUCCGUUUUGAUCACACCUUCUCGGAUGGCUGCCGGGCUUUUGCCUGCCCCGCCUUGCAUCGAGUCUCUCAUGACCUCCUCCGCCUCCAGCUUGCCCUUCUCGUCCCCUCGGAAGUAGCCGAGGGCCGGCCCGGGGCCUUCCAACUUGACCACCCUGGAGGCUCUAGGACCGGUUUCGACGGCCCCUCGAGGCCCCACUGACUGAUCCAGGCUGGGCCCCAGCUUCUGCUUCUUGGCCUUGACAUGCAGCGCCAGGGGCUGCACCGGGUGCAACUCGGGCCUGGAGGUGGCGCCGUCUGACGCUGUCGGCGGCUGCAGGAGCCGCAGGUCGGGCCUGAACUGCAACAGCCGCGCCUGCGCGGACGAGGCAGCGGCUUCCUCGUUCUGGGCCUGAGGCUGUGGUAGCAGCAACACCUGCUCUGGCUUCACCUGCAGCAGCCGCCGCACCGCGGGCUGUAAGCCGGACGCCACUGCCUCCCCGCACGACGAGGCCAAGGUCGCACUGGCUGCCGCGCUCAGUGUGGGAGACGACGGAGGGGGCUCCAUGGCUGCUGCCCAAAAGGAGGUGCCCUCGACCGGCAGCGGGGGCGGAGCGGGACGCAACGGGCGCGGCUGAGGCGGCGGCUCGGGUCUGGCUCUCUCCAUGGGGGAGGGGGACGCCCCGGCCAGGAUUGUGAGCUCAGCCGUUUGUUGGCGACCUUCCCCCUCCCCCUUUCGGUUAAGAGCCUUGCAAGGCCUUUGCUACCCAGAACCCUACGCGGUUCAAAACGCAGCUGUCUGUCUGGGCCUCACCCAAUCACAACGACCGAUACCCGUGGACGGCCAAUCACAGGCGGGUUUUCCGGCUCUUCCUGGUCCCUACUCUCGCCUCGUGCUGAGUCCUCGAAUCACCUGCCAUGGUAGGAGCCGCCGCACUUGUUGCACAUUUUCGUUCUGACUCUCUUGUGGAGUUCUCUUACAGCCGUU
This 1497-nucleotide long non-coding RNA is filed under the name Homo sapiens (human). Its description in RNAcentral is "HSALNT0096682". The record is from RNAcentral. Lineage: Eukaryota; Metazoa; Chordata; Mammalia; Primates; Hominidae.